AAGCACAGCUCUUUAAGAAUUUUUUCUAACAGCUUUUCCGACUUUGGUUGGAAAAAUCCAA
This 61-nucleotide small nuclear RNA is filed under the name Mus pahari (shrew mouse). RNAcentral's name for it is "predicted gene, 54363 (MGP_PahariEiJ_G0033910.1)". The record is from RNAcentral. Lineage: Eukaryota; Metazoa; Chordata; Mammalia; Rodentia; Muridae.